UACGAAGGGGGCUAGCGUUGCUCGGAAUCACUGGGCGUAAAGGGUGCGUAGGCGGGUCUUUAAGUCAGGGGUGAAAUCCUGGAGCUCAACUCCAGAACUGCCUUUGAUACUGAGGAUCUUGAGUCCGGGAGAGGUGAGUGGAACUGCGAGUGUAGAGGUGAAAUUCGUAGAUAUUCGCAAGAACACCAGUGGCGAAGGCGGCUCACUGGCCCGGUACUGACGCUGAGGUGCGAAAGCGUGGGGAGCAAACAGG
This 253-nucleotide ribosomal RNA is filed under the name uncultured bacterium. Its description in RNAcentral is "partial 16S ribosomal RNA". It matches the Rfam family "Bacterial small subunit ribosomal RNA", at positions 524 to 776 of the family's 1533-position model. The record is from RNAcentral.